GAUGAACGCUGGCGGCGUGCCUAAUACAUGCCAGUCGAGCGAACGGACGAGGAGCUUGCUCCUCUGACGUUAGCGGCGGACGGGUGUGUAACACGUGGAUAACCUACCUAUAAGACUGGGAUAACUUCGGGAAACCGGAGCUAAUACCGGAUAAUAUCUUGAACCGCAUGGGUCAAUAGUGAAAGACGGCUUUGCUGUCACUAAUAGAUGGAUCCGCGCUGCAUUAGCUAGUUGGUAAGGUAACGGCCUACCAAGGCAACGAUGCGUAGCCGACCUGAGAGGGUGAUCGGCCACACUGGAACUGAGACACGGUCCAGACUCCUACGGGAGGCAGCAGUAGGGAAUCUUCCGCAAUGGGCGAAAGCCUGACGGAGCAACGCCGCGUGAGUGAUGAAGGUCUUCGGAUCGUAAAACUCUGUUAUUGGGGAAGAACAUAUGUGUAAGUAACUGUGCAGUGCUUGACGGUACCUAAUAAGAAAGCAACGGCUAACUACGUG
RNAcentral lists this ribosomal RNA (497 nucleotides) under uncultured bacterium. Its description in RNAcentral is "partial 16S ribosomal RNA". It matches the Rfam family "Bacterial small subunit ribosomal RNA", at positions 28 to 507 of the family's 1533-position model. The record is from RNAcentral.